CGCGUAGGCGGUCUCUUAAGUCAGAUGUGAAAGCCCGGGGCUUAACCUCGGAAGUGCAUUUGAAACUAAGGGACUUGAGUAUGGGAGAGGGAAGUGGAAUUCCUGGUGUAGCGGUGAAAUGCGUAGAUAUCAGGAGGAACACCGGUGGCGAAGGCGACUUCCUGGACCAAUACUGACGCUGAGGCGCGAAGGCGUGGGGAGCGAACAGGAUUAGAUACCCUGGUAGUCC
RNAcentral lists this ribosomal RNA (229 nucleotides) under uncultured bacterium. Its description in RNAcentral is "partial 16S ribosomal RNA". It matches the Rfam family "Bacterial small subunit ribosomal RNA", at positions 568 to 796 of the family's 1533-position model. The record is from RNAcentral.